RNAcentral lists this non-coding RNA (28 nucleotides) under Rattus norvegicus (Norway rat). The record is from RNAcentral. Lineage: Eukaryota; Metazoa; Chordata; Mammalia; Rodentia; Muridae.
UCUGGACAGGAAAACCUACUCUGCUUCU